This is a long non-coding RNA of Oncorhynchus tshawytscha (Chinook salmon), 995 nucleotides long. The record is from Ensembl. Lineage: Eukaryota; Metazoa; Chordata; Actinopteri; Salmoniformes; Salmonidae.
UCAGGCUCCUCCCUCACUGAGGUGGAAUCACUAACAGACACUGUGUACUCAGGCUCCUCCCUCACUGAGGUGGAAUCACUAACAGACACUGUGUACUCAGGCUCCUCCCUCACCGAGGUGGAAUCACUAACAGACACUGUGUACUCAGGCUCCUCCCUCACCGAGGUGGAAUCACUAACAGUCACUGUGUACUCAGGCUCCUCCCUCACCGAGGUGGAAUCACUAACAGACACUGUGUACUCAGGCUCCUCCAUCACUGAGGUGGAAUCACUAACAGACACUGUGUACUCAGGCUCCUCCCUCACUGAGGUGGAAUCACUAACAGACACUGUGUACUCAGGCUCCUCCAUCACUGAGCAGGUAGGCGUGAGGAUCUCGUGUGUAUUGUGAUGGGAUUUUAUAUUGUGAUAAGAUGUUUUCUGGGUGUUUUUCUGGUUGUAUAGAGCUCCCCUCUAUUGGGUCACUGUCAGGGGAAACGUACAGUAUUUCGGUUGGCAAAAUGUUCCUUUUCUCCUUUCUUCUUCGCUGGCAAAACCAAAUAAAAGGGGACGCAGUGUUAUUGAGGCCCUGUUUUUUUUCUAUAAUCUACUAUAGGCCUAUAAAUUAAAACGAUAGAGAGCAAUAUUAAUGGCGUCUUUUUGAGGGCGCUAAAGGAGGCUAACUCCACCUUGUUUGACAAAUUAAUGUUUUUUUUUGUUGUUGUUGGUUGUUUGUUGGUUUGGGAUAUUAAAUGGUCAAAAUAAGGCAUGUGGUAAACACAGACUUAGGCGAUUUUAUACAUUUAGUUCUAUGAGAUCAUCUUCGUCAGCUAACAUCACUUUUUUUGUGAAUUUUGAAGCAUUUAUGUACUCAAAACAAGUGAAAAGCUACCGAUGUGCUAACAUGUAAAAAAUAAAUAAAUGAAACUACACGUCAGGUUGCCUUUGACGUCUCCAACGAAGCUCGAGAACUCCUAACACUUGGCUGUUGUAGUUCCAUUUCUGACAGCUAGCGAC